This is a long non-coding RNA of Poecilia latipinna (sailfin molly), 3501 nucleotides long. RefSeq lists it as uncharacterized. The record is from RefSeq and is a predicted model, not a curated record. Lineage: Eukaryota; Metazoa; Chordata; Actinopteri; Cyprinodontiformes; Poeciliidae. The transcript has 2 exons.
AAUUUCCAAGAGUGAGUCCGGGAAAAAAAAAAAAAAAAAAAAAAAAAAAAAAAUUCAAGCAUUAUCUUUCCGUUUCCGCUCAGCGCAGAUUUGAAGUGGAAACGUAUCGUGUUAUUUUGGUGGUGCUGGCAAGAAGUUGGAUUUUCACUUGAGCCAGUGAAUGAGAGAGAGCAAAGGAGCCUCGAAUUCCCACGACUCACAUCCGCUUGUUCCUACAUUUUACGACACAUGCACUUGUUUAUGGAGCGUGUUUUUUUUCUACCACCGAGAGCCCUUCGAGCAGUCGUUUUAGGUUUUUUGGUCACAGAGCUCAGCUGAAGGCACCAGGCGACCGAGAACGAACAAGCCGGCUUCCUCUGCGCGAGCGCGACCUCUGUCUGGCCGGUGUCAAAAGUUCAACAUCUUCAGGAGAAAAAGGGGGCAGAGCGACGUGAGGUUGAAACUUCAUCUGACUCCACCUGACGGGAAUGAAAGGAAAGUGUGUGGGACGCGUCCACGAGGGCCAGUCAGCAACAGUGAACUUUUUGCCGAAGGUGAGCACCAGGAAUGGUUUUCUCAUUAGCAGAAAUUCAAGUCUGUGCGUUGACCUCCUACUCGGCGAGCAAAGUGGAGAGAAAGAGCUUGAGUUACCCAAACCUCAGAUAUACAUCUAUUCUGUAAAUUGCCAGCUUCCUGCUAAAGGUAUUCCAGAGGAACAAGCGCGGAGCUUUACACAAAGCGAGAGACGAAUGUUUCACAAGUGUGAUGAACAGCAGGUAUAAACCGGCGGGGAGGAAGGACGCGUCCAAAAAAAGAGAGAGCUCCAGCUCGCUCUUUCUCCUCAGUCAUAUAAGGACCACAGAGCACACGAGGUGUAAAUCAGCGUUAGACGGUUCGAUACUUUGCACUGAGACGGACUCCAGGAAUCACACACACACACACACACACAAACGCACGCACUUAAACAUCAACACUGAUUGUUCCAUCGGGCCUAAAAUAAACGACGCAGUCCAAAUGCAUGAAAAGAGCCGUAUUGUUCAAGCAGUGGCAUCCGAGGACAGCUUACUUCUGAGAUUAAACAUCUCCAGUCGUCCCCCAGGGGCCUUGGUGUCACUGAUGGGGAAACAAGCAACUAAAUAAAUAUCAUGUCAUCCGUCUGAUCGCAGUCUUCCUGACACCAGCUCAUUCACUUCUUGUUUAUUUCACCCGCAGCGCGAGCUCUCAGAAUAAGAACGAGGAAGUAUGAACUUUUAGAAAACCUUGACGAGUGAACUCAUAAGAGGAGGAACUCGUGAAGACGAAGAAGAAGAAAAAAAUCUCAUGCUGAUUUUUAUCCUUAAAAAAAAAGUGCAGAUUAGACUCUUGAAACUUGUGGGGAAUUCUUAGCACUGUUUCUGAUGAUUUUCUUAAUUAUUUUUAUUUUUUUUGCAAGGGCACCUUCAGCAUGACAAAUGACAAAAUGGAAAGUCAGUCACAGUGAGGAGUGGCAGUUGUAACGAGAAUUUCAAAAUGCAUCUUUAUCUUACAAAAACUCCAGCAUGUUUUUUUUUUUUUUUUUUUUUUGUCUAUAAACAGCCUGAUUAUGACAAUAAAUACCAAGAGAUGACAAAGAAUGAACGCCCAGGUUGGAUCAGACUCUGUGAGGUCACUGUCAUUACAUAUGUUCACACCUCUGAUUACUUCUUUCUCUGUCUUGCUUCUGUUGCCUCUCUACUUCACAGCGUCCGUCGGACGCGCUGGGUGUAGAAGUGAACUAGAUAAAAGUGUGGCUCAACUUUUCAGACUUGCUGAAAUUUUCUCUCUCCACUCCAUUCAGCCCAUUAUCGCUUGGUGUCAAACUCUGAUACCAUCAGUGUGCAUUCUCAAGCAGCAGGCCGGCGCAUCAAGCAACGGCUGCAUCGGAAGCAAACAAAAAAGAAAAACAGUCUCUCUUUUUGCACUGACUUUUAUUUAUGAGGAUGGAUAUUAAAGAAAGCUCAACCUCAACAGCACUGUGUGUGCACCUAAAUGAUGUUGUGCGUACAGCACAUUAUUCUGGGCUAUGUGUUGUGGUGACAACAAGCAUGAUAAAUGUGGUCUAACCAUGGAGAUACCAAGUUUUGCUUUGUUUUGUUUUUUUAAUCUUUAGCUGCUUAAAAAGCCCACAUCUUUAAAAAAAAUAUAUAUAUAUCUCAAUGUGACCUUCAUGCAAAAAAUAAAAAUGAAAAAUGGCAUAGUCACAGUUUUAAUCACAGUAUGCAAAAAGAAAUUUAUAGAACUGUGAAGUGGUAUAUGAAGAUGAUAUUCUGCUAUUUGCAUUGCAUUAACGUUCCGCUUUUGUAAUUUUGUGGGUAUGGAGAGAAGCAAAAAAGAAAAAAAAAGAAGACUCCUAGCCCUGACAUCUGUUCGAAACAUUGACAUUUCGUUUGAAUUUAGCCACGCUUAUUUAACUCUGCUCAUUUAGUACUUGUUUUAUUUUUAUUUUCUGCAGCACACAAGCAAAUGUUCUAAGAUUUAACAUCAGCUGCAGCCAUCUGAGUGUACAUAUAAGCACUAAAAAGAAAGUUCUUGUGAAGAGUUCAAGUCCGGUCAGCAGAGAUCAGAAUCAGUUUCCUGCUUUUAAUGUCAACGCAUCUAAAAAACUCCUCACAGAUGUCUGAGAUGCCGUUUAAAAGGGACAUGUUAAUUUCACCAGGAAUAAACGCAGUGACAGACGAGAAUGCUAAAACCAUCACGUUAAUUUAUAACCUGCGAUUUCCGUCCAGGCAAACCCAGAGCAGAGCCAAUGUCUGAAUAACUGUCGAUUUGUUCCAUUUACUCGUUCAAUCUCCCAUUUCGAGUGCGAUUUCCAAUUCAUUAAAAUCCAAUUUUGGUGUGUUUGUGAAUUCGUUGAGAAAGGGAAUGACCCCCGUCUGAGAGCCGGAGAAGGCGCACUCAGCACAGACAGAGAGAGGGCUCCAGGCUCCAGGCUCCGGGGGUCGCAGGGAGGCAGCGCUCCUCUCAGCCUCCGUCCCUAAUCUGUUUUACUCCGCUUCGUUUAUUGUGCAGUAAACCGAAUCACGAGUGAACCCAGCUUUCUGAUCCGAACCCAUCCCCAACCUCUUCCCAUCCAAGCUCACAAAUGAAAUGUCAGAAAGUGUAGAAUCGCUAGCGAAAAAAGAAAGAAAGAGAGGGGGAAAAAAACGUGUCAACUUAUUAUGCACUGAGAAUGUUGCUGAAAGCAGCUUCAGACGUGUCAUCAACACCUAAGAAGUUCCUUCAAAUCUCGCUUUAGCCAAAGGAAACCCAAUUAUUGUUUUCUCUAAGAGUGCGCUACGCUGCGCAUGAACGUCGUUCUCGCUAUAUUAAAUCAACAACAUGACUAAUGUUACGUUAAAUAAUAAUAUUAAUAAUAAUAUUAAUAAUAAUUUUUUUUUAAAAAAGCGAUGGAGGGGAAGAAAUUGUUUGAAAAUAAUACACGAUGGGAUGUUGAAAAUGCAGAAUUAAAUAUGUUACUCGUCUUUACGUCAUUUUCGAUGACAGCGUUCAUUCUUACGCACGUAA